Trifolium pratense (red clover) is the source of this 507-nucleotide long non-coding RNA. RefSeq lists it as uncharacterized. The transcript is spliced from 3 exons. Lineage: Eukaryota; Viridiplantae; Streptophyta; Magnoliopsida; Fabales; Fabaceae. The record is from RefSeq and is a predicted model, not a curated record.
AUUAGAGAAAAGGAUUACUCUAUGAUGAUUAGAGAAAAGGAUUCAAUCGAAGCUAUUUAUAAGCAUGCUGAACUUGCAUAAGCCUUUACUUCUCUACAAGUGUGAUUGGGAAAUCGGUCCUUAUGAGCUCCACUUUUUAAAUCAUUCGCGAAUUGGAAAGGAAAGGAAGAUCAAAAGAAAUGCAACUUGUAAAAGGGAUGCUUCGUAAGUUAUCCAGACAUGUAGUAAUCAACACUAUGCAAAUGCCGUCGUCAUGAGAGAAUUUAUGUUUGCCACAAUUUUGUCUUACAAAUUAUGUUUGGUUUUGAUAGUUUUAUUGUGUAGACUUUACUUUCGAUUUGUUAGACAUAUACUUGGUUUUUUUUUCUUAGUGUUGUUGUAUGACAUAAUGGUUGUCACUUUUAAGAUUCUCAAAAUUCAGUUUCACACUACGUUUAAUUUGUUUGUGGGUUGAGAUAUUGUGGUUGUCACUUUGUAUAUAUAUGACUAUGACUAUUGUUUUAUGGA